Molecule: small nuclear RNA, 23 nt
Filed under: Arabidopsis thaliana (thale cress)
Lineage: Eukaryota; Viridiplantae; Streptophyta; Magnoliopsida; Brassicales; Brassicaceae
Description: snRNA_00797
Source: RNAcentral
UGACUUCAAUGAUUCUUCCAGCC